This 496-nucleotide ribosomal RNA is filed under the name uncultured bacterium. Its description in RNAcentral is "partial 16S ribosomal RNA". It matches the Rfam family "Bacterial small subunit ribosomal RNA", at positions 28 to 506 of the family's 1533-position model. The record is from RNAcentral.
GAUGAACGCUGGCGGCGUGCCUAAUACAUGCAAGUCGAGCGAACGGACGAGAAGCUUGCUUCUCUGAUGUUAGCGGCGGACGGGUGAGUAACACGUGGAUAACCUACCUAUAAGACUGGUAUAACUUCGGGAAACCGGAGCUAAUACCGGAUAAUAUUUUGAACCGCAUGGUUCAAAAGUAAAAGACGGCCUUGCUGUCACUUCUAGAUGGAUCCGCGCUGCAUUAGCUAGUUGGUAAGGUAACGGCUUACCAAGGCAACUAUGCAUAGCCGACCUGAGAGGGUGAUCGGCCACACUGGAACUGAGAGGCGGUCCUGGCUCCUACGGGAGGCAGCAGUAGGGAAGCUACCGAAAUGGGCGAAAGCUUGACGGAGCAACGCAGCGUGAGUGAUGAAGGUCUGCGGAUCGUAAAACUCUGUUAUUGGGGAAAAACAUAUGUGUAAGUAACGGUGCGCAUCUGAAGGGAACCGAAUAAGAAGGCCAGGCCAAACUACGG